This is a long non-coding RNA of Papaver somniferum (opium poppy), 2745 nucleotides long. RefSeq lists it as uncharacterized. NCBI's taxonomy places the organism in Eukaryota, Viridiplantae, Streptophyta, Magnoliopsida, Ranunculales, Papaveraceae. The transcript has 4 exons. The record is from RefSeq and is a predicted model, not a curated record.
AUUAGUUUGGCAGAAAGAGAUUGAUUUAAAGGAAUGGCAACAAAUGAAGUGACGAAGAGAUAAGUUUCGCAGAAAGAGACUUCUGAUCUAAAGGAAUGGCGACGAAAGAAGUGAAUUUGUGCGCUCUUGAUCAUAGUACCGUUUGGACAAGAAAAAACGCCUAGUUACACUUAGGUGCAAUUACUGUGGAAAAAAGCUAUACAGUUAUUCUCGUCUUAAGCAACACUUAGGAGGAAUACGUGGAGAAGUAACACCUUGUCUUAACGUCCCGGAGGAUGUGAAGGUACAAAUGCAAAACAGUUUGUCCAAAACAAAGAUAGCACAUGUGAAUAAUUCUAAACAAGGUAAGAAUGAGGCUGUUGUAGAUUUUCACAGUCAUCGUACACUUGUAGAUGAUGUCAAAAAGCGAGUCAGGUGCAAUUACUGUGGAAAAGAAAUAAAUAGUUAUUCUCUUCUUAAGUAUCACUUAGUCUUACAUGAAUAUGUAGUACCAUGUAAUAAAGUCCCAGAGGAUGUUAAGGUACAUAUGAGGAACAGAUUGUUACCAGAAACAAAUAAGCCAGAUGAACACAGGGAAGUUUCCGAAUCGUGUUCUUCUUGGAAGAGGGAUUCCAGCUCUGACGACUAUUCCCCUGAUGAAGCGUAUAUAGACAUUCGAGAUCAUGGUACAGUUCUUGAUAAGAAAAAAGGUCGAAUAACUCGAGUUAGGUGCAAUUAUUGCGCAAAGGAGAUCUGUAAUUAUUCUCGUCUUAGGCAACACUUAGGCGGAAUACGUGGAAAUGUUUUACCUUGUGUUGAAGUCCCAGAGGUCAUUAAGGUACAAAUGAAGAAAUACUGCCUACGCGCUUUGUUGGGGAAGAUGAAACACAGCUUUGUAGUGUAACACUCUGGACCUGACCAAGUAGAUGAGAAAUUACAGGUUUCGCAUAAUCCUGAAACAAUAAACAAAGUGAAGAACAAAGCAGAAGCUGAAGAUGACUCAUCCAGGCAAACCCAGAGGUGUAUCGGCAGAUUCUUUCUUGCGAACGGAAUUGAUUUUAGUGCUGCAAACUCAUCUACCUUCGAUAAAAUGAUACAUGCUUUGGUUGGAGUUGGAUCCACAGCAUAUAAGGUCCCUAGUUGCAAUGACCUAAAAGGGUGGAUCCUAGAGGGAGAACUGAAAGCAAUGCGAGAUCAUGUGCAGGAAGUUGUGUGCUCUUGGGGAAGCACUGGGUGCAGCAUAUUGCUAGAUGGGUGGACCAAUGAGAAAGGGCGAAAUAUGAUUAAUUUUGUAGUUGAUAGCCCACUGGGUCCCAUAUUCAUGAAGUCAGCGGAUUUCUCAGAUUCCAUUGGAAAUGUAGAUUCCAUGAUCUCAUUGUUAAGUGGAGUUAUUGAAGAGGUUGGAGUAGAGAAUGUGGUUCAAAUUGUCACAUAUAGUACUGCGGCUUCAAUGGAGGCAGUUGGUAAACAAAUGACAGAAAUAUAAGAGUGUAUUCUGGACUGUUUGUGCAUCUCACUGCAUAGGUCUCAUGUUGGAAAACAUAGGAAUGUUGGGCACUGAGAGAGGAAUAUUGGGCAAGGCAAAGACCAUUUCUAAGUUCAUUUACAGCCAUGAGACAGUUUUGAAGCUCAUGAAAGAACACACUCGUGGGUUCGAUAUAGUUAGUUCCUCCAGGAUAAGAUCAAUGAUGCCUUUUUUAAUAUUGGAGACAAUUGAGGCUCAAAAGAAGAAUUUGAGGGAGAUGUUUAUUUCGCUGGAAUGGAAGAACUCGACCUUGGCUUCAACAGCUGAUGGAAGGAUGGUGGCUGGUUUGGUCACUGGGGAGCCUUCUUUCUGGGCUGAAGCCGAGAUGCUUGUGAAGGACAAUGGACCAGGUCAAAGAGACAAUAAAAAAGAUAUAUAAAGGCAGGAAAACCGAAUAUCAGCCUCUCUGGACAGUCAUCGAUGGGAUUUGGGAUGACCAACUUCAUAGCCCUAUCCAUGCAGCAGGCUACUAUUUAAAUCCGGGUCUCUUUUACUUCAAAGAUUUCUAUGCUGAUGAUAAGGUUAAGGCCGGACUGCUAUGCUGCAUCGUGCGAAUUGUGGAGGAUGAACGUGAACAGGAUUUGAUAGCAUCACAAUUCGAUGAAUAUAGAAAUGCUAGUGGAGCUUUUGGCGACGGAGAUGCUGUUUGUCAAAGAGCAAAGCUUGCUCCAGCGAAGUGGUGGUCCCUGUAUGGAGGCGAAUGCCCUGAAUUACAACAAUUUGCUAUAAGAAUUCUGUCUCAGACCUGUACGGGUGCCUUAAGAUAUGGUUUGAAAAGGAGUCUAACUGAGGAACUACAUAUGGAGAAGGAAAGGAACUGUUUAGAGCAAAAAUGGUUGAGUGAGCUGACAUUUGUUCACCAUAGUCUUUGGUUGCAAAAUUUACCUGCUUCAAACUUUGAUUACACUGACACGUCUUGGACCAAUGGAUGAACGGAUUGGCAGGGGGUAGCAUGGAAGAGAAAGCAGCUGACAAAUUGGUAAUGUUUAGAAUAGCUGGAUUUUCAGUAGAUAAUGACUGUGGUGAUGUGAAUACGUAAUUACUCUUAUAGGAAGCUAGGGAAUUUAAAAUUUUGAAGCCAUGGGAGCAUGGCUUGUCAACAGAGACAAUGAAUACACGUGAUUUCGAGAAAUAGUACUAGAACAUACAGAGUUGUACAUAAAGCCGAGAAGAUGCAGCCUCAGUGGCUUGAGGUGGUAAUUACAAAAUUAUAUGUGACUAUGCAUGUUACGGACUCAGAU